GACGAACGCUGGCGGCGUGCUUAACACAUGCAAGUCGAACGGAAAGGCCCUGCUUUUGUGGGGUGCUCGAGUGGCGAACGGGUGACUAACACGUGAGUAACCUGCCCUUGACUUUGGGAUAACUUCAGGAAACUGGGGCUAAUACCGGAUAGGAGCUCCUGCUGCAUGGUGGGGGUUGGAAAGUUUCGGCGGUUGGGGAUGGACUCGCGGCUUAUCAGCUUGUUGGUGGGGUAGUGGCUUACCAAGGCUUUGACAGGUAGCCGGCCUGAGAGGGUGACCGGCCACAUUGGGACUGAGAUACGGCCCAGACUCCUACGGGAGGCAGCAGUGGGGAAUAUUGCACAAUGGGCGGAAGCCUGAUGCAGCAACGCCGCGUGCGGGAUGACGGCCUUCGGGUUGUAAACCGCUUUCGCCUGUGACGAAGCGUGAGUGACGGUAAUGGGUAAAGAAGCACCGGCUAACUACGUG
This 468-nucleotide ribosomal RNA is filed under the name uncultured bacterium. RNAcentral's name for it is "partial 16S ribosomal RNA". It matches the Rfam family "Bacterial small subunit ribosomal RNA", at positions 28 to 507 of the family's 1533-position model. The record is from RNAcentral.